RNAcentral lists this long non-coding RNA (242 nucleotides) under Nicotiana benthamiana. RNAcentral describes it as "long non-coding RNA (NBEN_LNC028541)". The record is from RNAcentral. Lineage: Eukaryota; Viridiplantae; Streptophyta; Magnoliopsida; Solanales; Solanaceae.
UCCAAUGAAAAAGGGGGGAGAGAAAACAAAAAGGAGAAAAAAGGAGAGCGCACACAAAAAUGACCCUCUCACGUUUCUUUUUCUUCAUAAUCAAUCUCCAUUAGAGAAAAAGCAGCAGCGACACACGACCUCUUUCUCUCCCCUAACCGGUUCUUCUUCUCCAUGAACACGAGAGAGUCCUGAGACGAAAAUCUCCGAACACCAGCAACAACCAUCGCCGUCCUGUUCGAGCUCAGUCGAGA